AAUUCACCUGUCUCAGCCUCCUGAGUAGCUGGGACUACAGGUAUUAAUCAUCUUUAGGAUUAGAACCUAAAGCGUAAGUCUAAUUGUGCCCAGAAUUGCUUCCUUCCAGUGGGUUCCUGGUCUCGUUGACUUCAAGAAUGAAGCUGCAGACCCUCACAGUAUUACUCUAGGAAAAUUUACAACCUGAAGCAAGGAGAAAUAAGAUUUCUCUUCUAAAUGCUGAAUUUGAAAGGCUUCAUUGGUAUUGCAUUGGAUCCAUAAAUUAGUUGGAAAAAACUGCCACCUUUAACAGUUCUGAGCCUUCCAAUCCAUGAGCAUGGUGCAGAGGAUGAGAAGUUCAAAAUCAAGGCACUGGCUGGAGUGCAGUGGCAGGAUCUCGGCUCACUGUGACCUCCGCCUCCCAGGUGAUCUGCCUGCCUUGGCCUCCCAAGGUUUUGAGAUUACAGAAGUAAGCCACCGCUCCUGGUGUGAAUGAAAACUUAUCUCACUAUCUCAAGUGAAUAAAACCAACUUUUGAUUAAUGACAACUUUA
RNAcentral lists this long non-coding RNA (532 nucleotides) under Homo sapiens (human). Its description in RNAcentral is "HSALNT0041186". The record is from RNAcentral. Lineage: Eukaryota; Metazoa; Chordata; Mammalia; Primates; Hominidae.